Molecule: long non-coding RNA, 545 nt
Filed under: Equus asinus (donkey)
Lineage: Eukaryota; Metazoa; Chordata; Mammalia; Perissodactyla; Equidae
Description: lncRNA (ENSEASG00005026416.1)
Source: RNAcentral
UGCCAUGGGAAAAUAAAACGAGAAGUCAGCAGUCUGCUACCCAGAAGGGCGCCCUCACUGAAACCCGACAUGCUGGCACCUUAAUCUCGGACUUCAGUCUCCAGAACUAAUCUACCAAUACUGAAGCAGAAUUUCUGUGAUAUAGUCACAGUGAAAGAAACACAAAUGGAGACAAGAGAAAGGUCUUUUCCACUCCGUAUGCCUGGAAACUAGCUUAGUGCUUGUUACAUUGUGGGGGCUGAAUAAACACUUGUUGAGGGGCUGGCCCCGUGGCCAAGUGGUUAAGUUCGCGUGCUCCGCUGCAGGUGGCCCAUUGUUUCAUUGGUUCGAGUCCUGGGCGUGGACAUGGCACUGCUCAUCAAAAUCAUGCUGAGGCAGCGUCCCACAUGCCACAACUAGAAGGACCCACAAUGAAGAAUAUACAACUAUGUACUGGGGGGUUUUGGGGAGAAAAAGGAAAAAAAUAAAAUCUUAAAAAAAAAUAAAUGCUUGUUGAAGAAUGAAUGAUUGAACAAGAGAACAACUCAUUGAAUAUUUCAAAUACU